UGUCAUUGUCAUCUAUUUUGUUUCGCAGUAUAAAAGCUUCAUUGCAGAAAUCUUUCCCCUUUUUGGUUGGGCUUAGUUGUUUUGUUUUGGGGGGGGCUAUCAUAAACAGGUUCCCCACCCCCAUGUCUUUAUCAAAAUUGUCAUUACUGUUAUUCUAGAAAAGUAUUGAUUAUUGUACAAUGUAUUGUAUAUAUUAUAUUAUAUGUGAUUCUAUUUUAUGGCCAAUUUAUAUUCUCUCUAUUGCUAAAAGUGUUCAUUAAUACUAAAUUUUCUAGGAGCAUCUUUAGAAUUGUUUAUGAAUAGGAUCAUUUUGACUGAAUGUAAGAGUAUUCUGAUUUCUUUCUGUUAUAUCUCAGUUCCUAAAAUUUCUUCCUUUUUCUUAUUUCCCUAACUGUAACUUCAAGCACUAUUGUGAAUAAGAGUACAAAUAUUGAACAUUUUUACCUCAUUGUUGAUUUUAGUGGAAAUAAUUUCAAUUUAUCUCACUUAAGUUGAUUAUAGGUUUGUUGUACUCAGUCUUUAUUAUUUUAAGGUAUACUCCUUCUACAUUUAGUUUAUUUGAAGUUGUUAUCAAGAAAGGUUGUAAGACUGUUAAAGUCCCUUUCAUUGUCUAAUGAAUAAUAACAAGCCUAUUUAUAUCAUGAUUUUUUUUUAACAUAUGAAGCUGUUUAAUUAGGUUAAUAAUUUAAAAAACCAGUUUGUGAGGAGAGAUCCCAUUUGUCAGGGAAAACUGAGAUCGCAGGUAGCCCUGGAGCUGAGGAACAGCUUUAAUCUUUGGCAAAAUCUGCGAGUCCAGAGCUUUCUGAUCAGCCUUUCGCUGCUCUGUAAUCUCGUAUUUGUCCUUCUCCGGGUCGAAGACCUCGCCCUCCUGAUGCCUGGGCUUGCACAGCUGCUGCUUCUUGAAGUAAGCGUCAGUCAGGUGUUUGGGGAUUUUAACAUCGCUGAUAUCAACUUUUGUAGAGGUGGCAAUGACAAACUUCUGGUGUGUUGUGCGCAGAGGAACUCUGUUGAUGACAAGAGGCAAUAAUAAGGCUAGGCACAGAAGCUCAUAUCAUGACUGGAUAAAGCAAUCCAGUAGGAGGGAAAGGGUCCCAAGAGCAAGCAGGAGUCAGAGACACCUAUACACCCACUGUUAGGAGUCCUACAAAGCCUUCAAGCUAAACAACACAGCAUGUAUGCAAGAAGACUUAGUGCAAACCCGUGUAGGCUCCCUGAUUGCUGCUUCAGGUACUGUGAGCCCCUAUGAGUCCUGCUUAGUUGAUUCUGCAGGCCAUGUUCUCCUGGUAUCCUCAGUCCCUCUGGCUUCUACAAUCAUCCCUCUUCCUCUUCGGUGGAGUUACUUUUACAUUUUGUAAAUUUCUCCCUGAUCUAUACUUGUACUAUAGAAAUCUAGAGUCCUUCCAUAGAUAACCAUGUCAAUUUGUAGUCACAUCCCUGUACCUUCAGUUUUAUACCAUGGAGGAAGGGGCAAGAGUUGGGUUCCUUUACUCUGCCACCUUGACCUCUUCUUCAAGGAAGUUUAUAUUCUUCCACCUAAGUUUCUCAUUCUAUACAAGGAUUUGCCCACAAUGUACUUUAAGCCAAAUGAACUCUAACCAAAUAAAUUAUGAUACAUUUAUC
This 1620-nucleotide long non-coding RNA is filed under the name Mus musculus (house mouse). Its description in RNAcentral is "long non-coding RNA chr19:34055454-34057074". The record is from RNAcentral. Lineage: Eukaryota; Metazoa; Chordata; Mammalia; Rodentia; Muridae.